UUGACCUUCUUGUCGAAUGCUUUCACCACUCUCUGCUGAUAUAACUUGACCAUGACACAUGGCAGUUGAUCUCUUCUUUUCGAUCAAAUUCAGCAUCAGUCAACUUGGGACUUUGAGGGUGCUAUUUUUCUUUUAUUUCUUUCUUUCUUUUUCUUUCUUUUGAUCUCUUUUGAUUUUGCACCCUCUCUUUCUUUGUUUUUUUUUUUUGAUUGAUUUUUUUUUCUUUCUUCUUUUUUUUUGAUUAAUGCCCCAGUUGGUUGUUCUGCUGAUUCUCGAGAUGCAGCUGAGUGUGAUCUUCUUUUCUUGCUCAAGAAGUCGGGAAAUCUCGUCAGGAAUCCCUUCAACAUCAUCUUCGUCCGCUUCAAAUACAGGGAAUUCAAAAUUGGGAGAUGACGUCCAAUCAUUAUGUUUAAUGGGUUUGAGAAACAACCUGCAUAAAGAUUUUGAUAUGAAAAGCUCUUUGAAAAUCAAACAAGACAAUCGUUAUGCAGAUGAAAAGAUUGCUUUUAUUCUUGUUUUUUAAGGUUUUUUGUGAUCACCAAUUUCAUGCAAAAAGCGAAAAGGAAAAACAAAUUGGAAAAAACAAAUGUUUAACAUGCAUUUAUUUGAAUGAAAAUAUCAUUGCACAAAAUGUUGCCAACAAUGUCAUCACUUCUCCUUUUGGCAUGGGAGAAGGGUU
RNAcentral lists this long non-coding RNA (679 nucleotides) under Lathyrus oleraceus (garden pea). RNAcentral describes it as "Pisum sativum (pea) long non-coding RNA (PSAT_LNC023817)". Lineage: Eukaryota; Viridiplantae; Streptophyta; Magnoliopsida; Fabales; Fabaceae. The record is from RNAcentral.